UACGGGGGGAGCAAGCGUUGUUCGGAUUUACUGGGCGUAAAGGGCGCGUAGGCGGUCAGCACAAGUCAGUUGUGAAAUCUCCGGGCUUAACUCGGAAAGGUCAACUGAUACUGUGCGACUAGAGUGCGGAAGGGGCAACUGGAAUUCUCGGUGUAGCGGUGAAAUGCGUAGAUAUCGGGAGGAACACCAGUGGCGAAGGCGACUUCCUGGCCUGUUCUUGACGCUGAGGCGCGAAAGCUAGGGGAGCAAACGGG
This 254-nucleotide ribosomal RNA is filed under the name uncultured bacterium. Its description in RNAcentral is "partial 16S ribosomal RNA". It matches the Rfam family "Bacterial small subunit ribosomal RNA", at positions 524 to 776 of the family's 1533-position model. The record is from RNAcentral.